Molecule: long non-coding RNA, 418 nt
Organism: Bombina bombina (fire-bellied toad)
Lineage: Eukaryota; Metazoa; Chordata; Amphibia; Anura; Bombinatoridae
Exons: 2
Source: RefSeq, a predicted model, not a curated record
CUGAAAACAAAAUUGCAUUAUUUUGGUUUAUGGCGAGUGACAUUUAUAAGGUUAAGGCAAAGUAUAAGCAAAUGAGCCAGCAAUCAUUAAAGAUCUACACAUUGCUAUACAAUGGGUUGUCAAGAAUGAGGCACUGUUCUGUGGGCGCAUAACCAUGCCAAGUUAUGUGUCAAUGAAUGAAGAUGACCGCCAGAAGCCCAUAGAUAACGUGAUGCAAAGAGAAGAACCAGAAGCAAGGGAGCCAUUCCUCUUUGUAUUUCAGCACAGAGAAGAUAUGGAGUUGUUUUUGCAGGCAUGUCUUGACCAACAGGGCCUCCAAGUUAAUGCCAUGUUCAACAAAUGACUGAUGGACAAGGGGUGGUGGUGUGUUUCUGUUUAAAUUAUUGAUAAUAAUAAAAAAAUAAGAUAAUUAACACCA